This 326-nucleotide ribosomal RNA is filed under the name uncultured eukaryote. Its description in RNAcentral is "partial 18S ribosomal RNA". It matches the Rfam family "Eukaryotic small subunit ribosomal RNA", at positions 1470 to 1796 of the family's 1831-position model. The record is from RNAcentral.
CCCUUAGAUGUUCUGGGCCGCACGCGCGCUACACUGAUGCAUUCAACAAGCCUAGCCUUGACCGAGAGGUCUGGGUAAUCUUUGAAACUGCAUCGUGAUGGGGCUAGAUUAUUGCAAUUAUUAAUCUUCAACGAGGAAUGCCUAGUAAGCGUGAUUCAUCAAAUCGCGUUGAUUACGUCCCUGCCCUUUGUACACACCGCCCGUCGCUCCUACCGAUUGAAUGUGUUGGUGAGGAGCUCGGAUUGGCAGCAGUUGGUGGUUCGCCACCGGCUAUUGCUGAGAAGUCCUCCAAACCGCCCCAUUUAGAGGAAGGAGAAGUCGUAACA